RNAcentral lists this small nuclear RNA (107 nucleotides) under Microcebus murinus (gray mouse lemur). Lineage: Eukaryota; Metazoa; Chordata; Mammalia; Primates; Cheirogaleidae. The record is from RNAcentral.
GUGCUCACUUUGGCAGCACAUAUACUAAAAUUGGAACGAUACAGAGAAGAUUAACAUGGCCCCUGCGUGAGGAUGACACGCAGAAAAAAAAAGAUUAAAAAAAAAAA